This 410-nucleotide ribosomal RNA is filed under the name uncultured bacterium. RNAcentral's name for it is "bacterial SSU rRNA". It matches the Rfam family "Bacterial small subunit ribosomal RNA", at positions 370 to 772 of the family's 1533-position model. The record is from RNAcentral.
AAUGGGCGCAAGCCUGAUCCAGCCAUGCCGCGUGGGUGAAGAAGGCCUUCGGGUUGUAAAGCCCUUUUGUUGGGAAAGAAAAGCAGCCGGCCAAUACCCGGUUGUUCUGACGGUACCCAAAGAAUAAGCACCGGCUAACUUCGUGCCAGCAGCCGCGGUAAUACGAAGGGUGCAAGCGUUACUCGGAAUUACUGGGCGUAAAGCGUGCGUAGGUGGUGGUUUAAGUCCGUUGUGAAAGCCCUGGGCUCAACCUGGGAACUGCAGUGGAUACUGGAUCACUAGAGUGUGGCAGAGGGUAGUGGAAUUCCCGGUGUAGCAGUGAAAUGCGUAGAGAUCGGGAGGAACAUCAGUGGCGAAGGCGACUGCCUGGGCCAACACUGACACUGAGGCACGAAAGCGUGGGGAGCAAA